This 480-nucleotide ribosomal RNA is filed under the name uncultured bacterium. RNAcentral describes it as "partial 16S ribosomal RNA". It matches the Rfam family "Bacterial small subunit ribosomal RNA", at positions 28 to 507 of the family's 1533-position model. The record is from RNAcentral.
GAUGAACGCUAGCGGCAGGCCUAAUACAUGCAAGUCGAGGGGUAUGGGUUGCUUGCAACCCAGAGACCGGCGCACGGGUGCGUAACGCGUAUGCAAUCUACCUUAAUCAGGGGGAUAGCCCGGAGAAAUCCGGAUUAACACCGCAUAACAUUGAGUUGUGGCAUCACAGUUCGAUCAAAUAUUUAUAGGAUUAAGAUGAGCAUGCGUGACAUUAGUUAGUUGGUGAGGUAACGGCUCACCAAGACCACGAUGUCUAGGGGAUCUGAGAGGAUGACCCCCCACACUGGUACUGAGACACGGACCAGACUCCUACGGGAGGCAGCAGUAAGGAAUAUUGGUCAAUGGGCGCAAGCCUGAACCAGCCAUGCCGCGUGCAGGAAGACGGCCCUAUGGGUUGUAAACUGCUUUUGUACCGGAAUAAACCUUCUCUUGCGAGAGAAGCUGAACGUACGGUAAGAAUAAGGAUCGGCUAACUCCGUG